UACGUAUGGUGCAAGCGUUAUCCGGAUUUACUGGGUGUAAAGGGCGUGUAGGCGGGACUGCAAGUCAGAUGUGAAAACCACGGGCUCAACCUGUGGCCUGCAUUUGAAACUGUAGUUCUUGAGUACUGGAGAGGCAGACGGAAUUCCUAGUGUAGCGGUGAAAUGCGUAGAUAUUAGGAGGAACACCAGUGGCGAAGGCGGCCUGCUGGACAGCAACUGACGCUGAGGCGCGAAAGCGUGGGGAGCAAACAGG
This 253-nucleotide ribosomal RNA is filed under the name uncultured bacterium. Its description in RNAcentral is "partial 16S ribosomal RNA". It matches the Rfam family "Bacterial small subunit ribosomal RNA", at positions 524 to 776 of the family's 1533-position model. The record is from RNAcentral.